CCCAGAUGAUGCCACCUGCACUCCAGCCUGGGCAACAGUGAGGCCCUAUCUCAAAAAAAAAAAAAAAGUCAUUUAUUACAAAGAUAGGAACUCAUGAAUUUAUGAAAGUUGAAGAACUAGGAUUAAGGAUGGGUGGGAACUAAGAUUGACAGGUACUUGUAACAGUACAGCUAGGGUGCUGUUGAUGACAUGAAUGAACUCCAAUCUUUUCCUGUAGUCAUUUUCUCAAGAUUCAAAGUCAUGGAAAAAAAAGAGUAGAAUGAACCAAACUUAGGUAAAGAGUCACCAGCCUGGCAGUGAAAAUAGUGUAGUUUCUUUGACUUUAUUAUGAGGAAACAGAUUCCUGGAUUGACAGUCUCACCAAAACUAUACACAAUGUCUUUUUUCAUUUUUUCUCAGACUUCUCAGAGAUGAAUAUAUACAAUUUCUGACAAAGAAAGCUGAGUACCUUUAGGAAGGGAAAAGGAAUGCUGAAUAUCCCCAAACAACACGUUUAUUACGUAUUUAUCCUGACCUAAAGAUGACCCUAGUCAUGGAGAAGUGGCACAGUGACCUCUACCCCUGAGAGAAAACCUGUCUUUCCAGCCAGAGGAAGCAGGAAAAAAUGAUCCUAUGGUCUGAAGAAUGUGGAAAAAUCCAUCUUUUUUUUUUCCUCUCUGCUUUCUGCCUGAGGGGGGUUCCUUUUGCCAAAAUGAGCAGACAGUGUGGGCAGGUAAUCAACAGAGAGAAAGCCCAUCUUUCUAAGUCACAGAUGAGGAAAAGGGGCCCCCUGGGUGCCAGGGAGACUGGGGGGAAAUCCUGAAGAGCAAAGACCUGAAAAGAGAAUUCUCUAAUUCUGUACAUGAGCUGAAUUACAUGCUCAGCCCAGAGCUGCACAUACCAGACGCAGAGCCCAAGCAGCACAGCCACACUCUGAACUGACAUUCUGACCACCACUACCAAACAGAAGGCAACGCAGGACCUGUGGGCUGAGGCUAACGAGGUUGAUUGCCUGACAAAACAGAAAAAAAAAAAAAUUCUUUAGGGAAUUUUAGCAGAACCCAGCAUCUCCCA
Sapajus apella (tufted capuchin) is the source of this 1053-nucleotide long non-coding RNA. RefSeq lists it as uncharacterized. The transcript has 2 exons. The record is from RefSeq and is a predicted model, not a curated record. NCBI's taxonomy places the organism in Eukaryota, Metazoa, Chordata, Mammalia, Primates, Cebidae.